AGAGUUUGAUCCUGGCUCAGAACGAACGCUGGCGGCAGGCUUAACACAUGCAAGUCGAACGGUUGUAGCAAUACAGCAGUGGCAGACGGGUGAGUAACACGUGGGAACCUUCCUAGGGGUACGGAACAACUCAGGGAAACUUGAGCUAAUACCGUAUACGUCCGUAAGGAGAAAGAUUCAUCGCCCCUAGACGGGCCCGCGUAGGAUUAGGUAGUUGGUGAGGUAACGGCUCACCAAGCCUACGAUCCUUAGCUGAUCUGAGAGGAUGAUCAGCCACACUGGGACUGAGACACGGCCCAGACUCCUACGGGAGGCAGCAGUGGGGAAUCUUGGACAAUGGGCGCAAGCCUGAUCCAGCCAUGCCGCGUGAGUGAAGAAGGCCUUCGGGUUGUAAAGCUCUUUUACCAGGGACGAUAAUGACGGUACCUGAGAAUAGCCUGAUGCG
RNAcentral lists this ribosomal RNA (445 nucleotides) under uncultured Fulvimarina sp. Its description in RNAcentral is "bacterial SSU rRNA". It matches the Rfam family "Bacterial small subunit ribosomal RNA", at positions 8 to 498 of the family's 1533-position model. Lineage: Bacteria; Pseudomonadati; Pseudomonadota; Alphaproteobacteria; Hyphomicrobiales; Aurantimonadaceae. The record is from RNAcentral.